AUUGAACGCUGGCGGCAGGCUUAACACAUGCAAGUCGAGCGGAGGGAUGGUGCUUGCACCAUCACGUAGCGGCGAACGGGUGAGUAAGGCCUAGGAAUCUGCCCAUUAUCUGGGGACAACGUGUGGAAACGCACGCGAAUACCGCAUACGCCCUACGUGGGAAAGGAGUGGACUAUUUGAGCCUUGCACUAAUGCAUUAGCCUAGGUCAGAUUAGUCAGUGGGUGGGGUAAAGGCCUACCAAGGCGACGAUCUGGAGCGGGUCUGAGAGGAUGAUCCGCCAAACUGGAAACGAGAAACGGUCCAGAAUUCCUAGGGAGGCAGCCGUGGGGAAUAUUGGACAAUGGGGGCAAGCCUGAUCCAGCCAUGCCGCGUGUGUGAAGAAGGCCUUUUGGUUGUAAAGAACUUUAAGCGAGGAGGAGGCUUACCUGGUUAAUACCUGGGAUAAGUGGACGUUACUCGCAGAAUAAGCCCCGGCUAACUCUGUG
This 486-nucleotide ribosomal RNA is filed under the name uncultured bacterium. RNAcentral describes it as "partial 16S ribosomal RNA". It matches the Rfam family "Bacterial small subunit ribosomal RNA", at positions 30 to 507 of the family's 1533-position model. The record is from RNAcentral.